This 396-nucleotide ribosomal RNA is filed under the name Pseudomonas sp. RNAcentral describes it as "bacterial SSU rRNA". It matches the Rfam family "Bacterial small subunit ribosomal RNA", at positions 352 to 740 of the family's 1533-position model. The record is from RNAcentral. Lineage: Bacteria; Pseudomonadati; Pseudomonadota; Gammaproteobacteria; Pseudomonadales; Pseudomonadaceae.
CAGUGGGGAAUAUUGGACAAUGGGCGAAAGCCUGAUCCAGCCAUGCCGCGUGUGUGAAGAAGGUCUUCGGAUUGUAAAGCACUUUAAGUUGGGAGGAAGGGCAGUUACCUAAUACGUGAUUGUUUUGACGUUACCGACAGAAUAAGCACCGGCUAACUCUGUGCCAGCAGCCGCGGUAAUACAGAGGGUGCAAGCGUUAAUCGGAAUUACUGGGCGUAAAGCGCGCGUAGGUGGUUUGUUAAGUUGGAUGUGAAAUCCCCGGGCUCAACCUGGGAACUGCAUUCAAAACUGACUGACUAGAGUGUGGUAGAGGGUGGUGGAAUUUCCUGUGUAGCGGUGAAAUGCGUAGAUAUAGGAAGGAACACCAGUGGCGAAGGCGACCACCUGGACCAACAC